Molecule: ribosomal RNA, 256 nt
Filed under: uncultured bacterium
Lineage: Bacteria
Description: partial 16S ribosomal RNA
Rfam family: Bacterial small subunit ribosomal RNA
Source: RNAcentral
UACAGAGGGUGCAAGCGUUGUUCGGAAUCAUUGGGCGUAAAGGGCGUGUAGGCGGUUUUGUUAAGUCAUGUGUGAAAUCCCUCGGCUCAACCGGGGGAACGACGCAUGAAACUGGCAAGCUAGAGUACCAAAGAGGGCGGUGGAAUUCCCGGUGUAGCGGUGAAAUGCGCAGAUAUCGGGAGGAACACCGGUGGCGAAGGCGGUUCUCUGGGCCUUACCUGACGCUGAGGAGCGAAAGCGUGGGGGAGCGAACAGG